Molecule: long non-coding RNA, 1601 nt
Organism: Cyprinus carpio carpio
Lineage: Eukaryota; Metazoa; Chordata; Actinopteri; Cypriniformes; Cyprinidae
Source: Ensembl
AUGCCACAUACCAAUUUUUUUGUCACACAAACUCGUUUUCUCUUUUCAGAUGUGUGCAAACCUCAGUCAGAUCAGUUUACUACUUGCCAGCAUUUGAUGGGUGAUGUGAAAUAUGUGACCUUGGACCACAAAACCAGUCAUAAAGGGUCACAUAUGUUUUGGUCUCCUGAAGUCCAGUGAAGAAACAUGGAAGACAGGAAGACAGUAUAGGCUACAUAUUCCUUGAGGUAUUAUGAUUAUUUAUUUAUUUAUGUUUUUAAUUGUGAGUAAGAAUGUUUUACUUUUGGUCGAGUCCAGUAUUGCACAUGAGAAUUUUUAUUUUAUUUUUUAAACAUUGCAGAAGUAAUUCAAUAUUCUUUAGAUCAUGUAUGUACAUCUGUUUAUUCCUGCACCAAUAAGCAUUAAAUAUGGCAAUCAUUGACCAGAACUGACUGUGAGCACACAUCUGAGCACCAAAAGUACAUUUUUAUUCCUGUUUUUGCAACAAUUUCUUGCUUGAAUAUUGAAAUUAUGAACCAGAACUAUUAAAGCACACUAGAACCCCAAAAGUAACAGUUGAUUGUUGACUGAUUAAACUGCAGAAAGUGAGGGUGACGUCAAUGUCAUGAAACCUGACCAAAGAAAUCUAAAAUCAAAAGGAAAAUAAGAAAUAUUUUUUUAAGGGAAAAUUACAAUUAUUCUUAGGAAUAUUUAUUUAUUUAGGAUAUGAUUAAUUUAGGAUUAAGUUUUUUUUAUACAAUAUAUUAUAAAAAAAAAAAAAAAAAAAAUUCACUCAGUUUUCAAUGUUUUCCAAAAAAGCCUUUUUUACAGGAUCAUUGUUAAUGUUUCCUAGACAGAGCAUUUAAUGAAGAUGAUAGCAUUUGCAUAGAUUUAAGUGAAAGGAAAAGAGGAGUAUAGUUCCUUCAGCUGCUGCAGAGUCGAGGUGAGGUGAACUUUGCCCUCUCGCUGAGUGUUACCCAUGACCUCGCUGAUCUUUAGUGGACUCAUAUUCAGAUCAAAGAUGAGGCUGUAGUUCUGUAUCAGGCGUUUGGCUUGCUCUCUAUCCACAUAACCUGAAAUCAAUUCAUUGUACAAAAUUUGAUUAUUGAUUUUAUUCUAUCAUUUUCUAUGACUCACAGUGUUUUAAAUCACUUUUAAACUGUAAAGACUGUAUUUGUAUGAUGGGUUUUAUACCUGUGUUUCUGGUGUCACACAUUUGUAAGGCCAUCUCCAUCUUCUGGAACCUCUGAAGCCAUGUCUCUCUUUGUUCUUCAUUUAUAUCGCUCCAGUCGCUCACUGAUUCCAGGUCAGUACUGCCCACUGACGCAUCCCAGAUCUCUGCCUGAGGAUCAUGUUCAAAAACAUCCAUCAAAAUGUGUUUCUCUAUUUCAGAAAGCUGCAGACAGUAUGAAAUGAUAAUAUUCUAGUUAAUUUUUUAAGGCUUAUUGAAAGACCUCAACACUUUGCUGUUUCACGUCUUGUACAGCCUUCUGUAUGAACUGCAGCAAGUCUUGAUAGUGCACCUGCAAAGCAGCAUGAUAAAGUAAAAAUCACUUCACAUGAAAAAUUACAAACUUUUAUGAAAAUAAUUCAAAUAUAAAACCAUAUAUGCGUAAAAGCAC